AGAUUAAGUUAUUAAGGGCGCACGGUGGAUGCCUUGGCACUAGAAGCCGAUGAAGGACGUUACUAACGACGAUAUGCUUUGGGGAGCUGUAAGUAAGCUUUGAUCCAGAGAUUUCCGAAUGGGGAAACCCAGCAUGAGUUAUGUCAUGUUAUCGAUAUGUGAAUACAUAGCAUAUCAGAAGGCACACCCGGAGAACUGAAACAUCUUAGUAACCGGAGGAAGAGAAAGAAAAUUCGAUUCCCUUAGUAGCGGCGAGCGAAACGGGAAGAGCCCAAACCAACAAGCUUGCUUGUUGGGGUUGUAGGACACUCUAUACGGAGUUACAAAGGACGACAUUAGACGAAUCAUCUGGAAAGAUGAAUCAAAGAAGGUAAUAAUCCUGUAGUCGAAAAUGUUGUCUCUCUUGAGUGGAUCCUGAGUACGACGGAGCACGUGAAAUUCCGUCGGAAUCUGGGAGGACCAUCUCCUAAGGCUAAAUACUCUCUAGUGACCGAUAGUGAACCAGUACCGUGAGGGAAAGGUGAAAAGCACCCCGGAAGGGGAGUGAAAUAGAACCUGAAACCGUGUGCUUACAAGUAGUCAGAGCCCGUUAAUGGGUGAUGGCGUGCCUUUUGUAGAAUGAACCGGCGAGUUACGAUUUGAUGCAAGGUUAAGCAGUAAAUGUGGAGCCGUAGCGAAAGCGAGUCUGAAUAGGGCGUUUAGUAUUUGGUCGUAGACCCGAAACCAGGUGAUCUACCCUUGGUCAGGUUGAAGUUCAGGUAACACUGAAUGGAGGACCGAACCGACUUACGUUGAAAAGUGAGCGGAUGAACUGAGGGUAGCGGAGAAAUUCCAAUCGAACCUGGAGAUAGCUGGUUCUCUCCGAAAUAGCUUUAGGGCUAGCCUCAAGUGAUGAUUAUUGGAGGUAGAGCACUGUUUGGACGAGGGGCCCCUCUCGGGUUACCGAAUUCAGACAAACUCCGAAUGCCAAUUAAUUUAACUUGGGAGUCAGAACAUGGGUGAUAAGGUCCGUGUUCGAAAGGGAAACAGCCCAGACCACCAGCUAAGGUCCCAAAAUAUAUGUUAAGUGGAAAAGGAUGUGGCGUUGCCCAGACAACUAGGAUGUUGGCUUAGAAGCAGCCAUCAUUUAAAGAGUGCGUAAUAGCUCACUAGUCGAGUGACACUGCGCCGAAAAUGUACCGGGGCUAAACAUAUUACCGAAGCUGUGGAUUGUCCUUUGGACAAUGGUAGGAGAGCGUUCUAAGGGCGUUGAAGCAUGAUCGUAAGGACAUGUGGAGCGCUUAGAAGUGAGAAUGCCGGUGUGAGUAGCGAAAGACGGGUGAGAAUCCCGUCCACCGAUUGACUAAGGUUUCCAGAGGAAGGCUCGUCCGCUCUGGGUUAGUCGGGUCCUAAGCUGAGGCCGACAGGCGUAGGCGAUGGAUAACAGGUUGAUAUUCCUGUACCACCUAUAAUCGUUUUAAUCGAUGGGGGGACGCAGUAGGAUAGGCGAAGCGUGCGAUUGGAUUGCACGUCUAAGCAGUAAGGCUGAGUAUUAGGCAAAUCCGGUACUCGUUAAGGCUGAGCUGUGAUGGGGAGAAGACAUUGUGUCUUCGAGUCGUUGAUUUCACACUGCCGAGAAAAGCCUCUAGAUAGAAAAUAGGUGCCCGUACCGCAAACCGACACAGGUAGUCAAGAUGAGAAUUCUAAGGUGAGCGAGCGAACUCUCGUUAAGGAACUCGGCAAAAUGACCCCGUAACUUCGGGAGAAGGGGUGCUCUUUAGGGUUAACGCCCAGAAGAGCCGCAGUGAAUAGGCCCAAGCGACUGUUUAUCAAAAACACAGGUCUCUGCUAAACCGUAAGGUGAUGUAUAGGGGCUGACGCCUGCCCGGUGCUGGAAGGUUAAGAGGAGUGGUUAGCUUCUGCGAAGCUACGAAUCGAAGCCCCAGUAAACGGCGGCCGUAACUAUAACGGUCCUAAGGUAGCGAAAUUCCUUGUCGGGUAAGUUCCGACCCGCACGAAAGGCGUAACGAUUUGGGCACUGUCUCAACGAGAGACUCGGUGAAAUCAUAGUACCUGUGAAGAUGCAGGUUACCCGCGACAGGACGGAAAGACCCCGUGGAGCUUUACUGUAGCCUGAUAUUGAAAUUCGGCACAGCUUGUACAGGAUAGGUAGGAGCCUUUGAAACGUGAGCGCUAGCUUACGUGGAGGCGCUGGUGGGAUACUACCCUAGCUGUGUUGGUUUUCUAACCCGCACCACUUAUCGUGGUGGGAGACAGUGUCAGGCGGGCAGUUUGACUGGGCGGUCGCCUCCUAAAAGGUAACGGAGGCGCUCAAAGGUUCCCUCAGAAUGGUUGGAAAUCAUUCAUAGAGUGUAAAGGCAUAAGGGAGCUUGACUGCGAGACCUACAAGUCGAGCAGGGUCGAAAGACGGACUUAGUGAUCCGGUGGUUCCGCAUGGAAGGGCCAUCGCUCAACGGAUAAAAGCUACCCCGGGGAUAACAGGCUUAUCUCCCCCAAGAGUUCACAUCGACGGGGAGGUUUGGCACCUCGAUGUCGGCUCAUCGCAUCCUGGGGCUGUAGUCGGUCCCAAGGGUUGGGCUGUUCGCCCAUUAAAGCGGUACGCGAGCUGGGUUCAGAACGUCGUGAGACAGUUCGGUCCCUAUCCGUCGUGGGCGUAGGAAAUUUGAGAGGAGCUGUCCUUAGUACGAGAGGACCGGGAUGGACAUACCUCUGGUGUACCAGUUGUCGUGCCAACGGCAUAGCUGGGUAGCUAUGUGUGGACGGGAUAAGUGCUGAAAGCAUCUAAGCAUGAAGCCCCCCUCAAGAUGAGAUUUCCCAACUUCGGUUAUAAGAUCCCUCAAAGAUGAUGAGGUUAAUAGGUUCGAGGUGGAAGCAUGGUGACAUGUGGAGCUGACGAAUACUAAUCGAUCGAAGACUUAAUCAAAUU
RNAcentral lists this ribosomal RNA (2926 nucleotides) under Staphylococcus aureus. RNAcentral describes it as "23S ribosomal RNA". It matches the Rfam family "Bacterial large subunit ribosomal RNA". The record is from RNAcentral. Lineage: Bacteria; Bacillati; Bacillota; Bacilli; Caryophanales; Staphylococcaceae.